Molecule: ribosomal RNA, 390 nt
Filed under: Enterobacteriaceae bacterium
Lineage: Bacteria; Pseudomonadati; Pseudomonadota; Gammaproteobacteria; Enterobacterales; Enterobacteriaceae
Description: bacterial SSU rRNA
Rfam family: Bacterial small subunit ribosomal RNA
Source: RNAcentral
GCGUGUAUGAAGAAGGCCUUCGGGUUGUAAAGUACUUUCAGCGGGGAGGAAGGGAGUAAAGUUAAUACCUUUGCUCAUUGACGUUACCCGCAGAAGAAGCACCGGCUAACUCCGUGCCAGCAGCCGCGGUAAUACGGAGGGUGCAAGCGUUAAUCGGAAUUACUGGGCGUAAAGCGCACGCAGGCGGUUUGUUAAGUCAGAUGUGAAAUCCCCGGGCUCAACCUGGGAACUGCAUCUGAUACUGGCAAGCUUGAGUCUCGUAGAGGGGGGUAGAAUUCCAGGUGUAGCGGUGAAAUGCGUAGAGAUCUGGAGGAAUACCGGUGGCGAAGGCGGCCCCCUGGACGAAGACUGACGCUCAGGUGCGAAAGCGUGGGGAGCAAACAGGAUUAG